GCCCGUUGCCCUCUUUCUCUGUAUGUCACUCAUUUGCUAAUACUCAGGCAAAAAGUACCAAUUUGUAUGCUGAUGUGUCUUGUGUAUUUUUUUUACCUCUGUCUCUCUAUGACAGAGAAAUGUAUAUGCUCAAUAUUGCUGUUCAAACUGAUGCUCAAAUUACCAAGCACUACCUGAACGCCUCAUCGGUCUUUAACGAAUCACUGCACCAACUGUCGUCAUUCCGCUUUGCUCUCUGCUGUGGAACUUGACUGACAUCUGUGCUUUGCCUGGUAGGUGUGCACAUACUUGUGCAGAAGAACAAGGACCAGAUCUCCAGUCUUCUCUGUCACAUCCCAACCCCACAUCCCCUCUAUCCUCUGUCCUGCUCCACCUGUUGUCUCUGCCUUCUUUCCAUCUGUAUUUCACCCUGUGGUUUGUGAGAAAUUUUGCCAAACCAAGAAUCUUAUUGCGGUUUGAUUUCAAAGCCGUGUCUCUCCUGCUCUGUCUGUUCUCUCUGCUAAAUUUUCUCUCUACCUGUUUUUCACUCUUUGGCUUGCUGCUGAGAAAUGCACAAGCCAAUAAAGCAAUAAAGAGUGCAUAUUUUGCCUCAACCUUUGAACAAACUGAACAAACAAAGAAAACUCUACGGUUUGAUUUCAAAACCGUGUCUUUCCUGCUCUCUCUGUUCUCUCUGCUAAAUUUUCUCUCUACCU
Molecule: long non-coding RNA, 695 nt
Organism: Oreochromis aureus
Lineage: Eukaryota; Metazoa; Chordata; Actinopteri; Cichliformes; Cichlidae
Source: Ensembl